AGAGUUUGAUCAUGGCUCAGAACGAACGCUGGCGGCAGGCCUAACACAUGCAAGUCGAGCGCACCUUCGGGUGAGCGGCGGACGGGUGAGUAACGCGUGGGAAUAUGCCCGACACUACGGAAUAGCCUCGGGAAACUGAGAGUAAUACCGUAUACGCCCUUCGGGGGAAAGAUUUAUCGGUGUCGGAUUAGCCCGCGUUGGAUUAGGUAGUUGGUGGGGUAACGGCCUACCAAGCCUACGAUCCAUAGCUGGUUUGAGAGGAUGAUCAGCCACACUGGGACUGAGACACGGCCCAGACUCCUACGGGAGGCAGCAGUGGGGAAUCUUGGACAAUGGGGGCAACCCUGAUCCAGCCAUGCCGCGUGAGUGACGAAGGCCCUAUGGGUCGUAAAGCUCUUCAGCUGUGAAG
RNAcentral lists this ribosomal RNA (409 nucleotides) under uncultured bacterium. RNAcentral describes it as "bacterial SSU rRNA". It matches the Rfam family "Bacterial small subunit ribosomal RNA", at positions 8 to 447 of the family's 1533-position model. The record is from RNAcentral.